GAUGAACGCUGGCGGCGUGCUUAACACAUGCAAGUCGAACGAAGCACUUUAUUUGAUUUCCUUCGGGACUGAUUAUUUUGUGACUGAGUGGCGGACGGGUGAGUAACGCGUGGGUAACCUGCCUUGUACAGGGGGAUAACAGUUGGAAACGGCUGCUAAUACCGCAUAAGCGCAUGGCAUCGCAUGAUGCAGUGUGAAAAACUCCGGUGGUAUAAGAUGGACCCGCGUUGGAUUAGCUAGUUGGUGAGGUAACGGCCCACCAAGGCGACGAUCCAUAGCCGACCUGAGAGGGUGACCGGCCACAUUGGGACUGAGACACGGCCCAAACUCCUACGGGAGGCAGCAGUGGGGAAUAUUGCACAAUGGGCGAAAGCCUGAUGCAGCGACGCCGCGUGAGCGAAGAAGUAUUUCGGUAUGUAAAGCUCUAUCAGCAGGGAAGAUAAUGACGGUACCUGACUAAGAAGCACCGGCUAAAUACGUG
Molecule: ribosomal RNA, 481 nt
Filed under: uncultured bacterium
Lineage: Bacteria
Description: partial 16S ribosomal RNA
Rfam family: Bacterial small subunit ribosomal RNA
Source: RNAcentral